UACGAAGGGUGCGAGCGUUGUUCGGAAUUAUUGGGCGUAAAGCGCACGUAGGCGGCCUUGUAAGUCUGUCUGUGAAAGCCCGGGGCUCAACCCCGGGAUGCCAGGGGAUACUGCGAGGCUGGAGACAAGCAGAGGUUGGUAGAAUUCCGGGUGUAGCGGUGGAAUGCGUAGAGAUCCGGAGGAAUACCAGAGGCGAAGGCGGCCAACUGGGCUUGAUCUGACGCUGAGGUGCGAAAGCGUGGGGAGCGAA
RNAcentral lists this ribosomal RNA (250 nucleotides) under uncultured bacterium. RNAcentral describes it as "partial 16S ribosomal RNA". It matches the Rfam family "Bacterial small subunit ribosomal RNA", at positions 524 to 772 of the family's 1533-position model. The record is from RNAcentral.